This 430-nucleotide ribosomal RNA is filed under the name uncultured Sphingobacteriales bacterium. RNAcentral describes it as "bacterial SSU rRNA". It matches the Rfam family "Bacterial small subunit ribosomal RNA", at positions 950 to 1382 of the family's 1533-position model. The record is from RNAcentral. Lineage: Bacteria; Pseudomonadati; Bacteroidota; Sphingobacteriia; Sphingobacteriales.
UUCGAUGAUACGCGAGGAACCUUACCUGGCUUAAAUGUAGAGUGCAUUUUUAGAGUAUAGAAAUUCCCUUCGGGGCUUUCUGCAAGGUGCUGCAUGGUUGUCGUCAGCUCGUGCCGUGAGGUGUCGGGUUAAGUCCCAUAACGAGCGCAACCCUUAUCGUUAGUUGCCAUCUGGUAAUGCAGGGGACUCUAGCGAAACUGCCACCGUAAGGUGAGAGGAAGGUGGGAUGACGUCAAUCAGCACGGCCCUUAUGUCCAGGGCUACACACGUGUUACAAUGGUCGGUACAGAGGGCAGCUACCUGGUGACAGGAUGCUAAUCUCGAAAACCGGUACUCAGUUCGGAUCGAAGUCUGCAACUCGACUUCGUGAAGCUGGAUUCGCUAGUAAUCGCGCAUCAGCUAUGGCGCGGUGAAUACGUUCCCGGGCCUU